GUCGAGCGGUAGAGAGGUGCUUGCACCUCUUGAGAGCGGCGGACGGGUGAGUAAUGCCUAGGAAUCUGCCUGGUAGUGGGGGAUAACGCUCGGAAACGGACGCUAAUACCGCAUACGUCCUACGGGAGAAAGCAGGGGACCUUCGGGCCUUGCGCUAUCAGAUGAGCCUAGGUCGGAUUAGCUAGUUGGUGAGGUAAUGGCUCACCAAGGCGACGAUCCGUAACUGGUCUGAGAGGAUGAUCAGUCACACUGGAACUGAGACACGGUCCAGACUCCUACGGGAGGCAGCAGUGGGGAAUAUUGGACAAUGGGCGAAAGCCUGAUCCAGCCAUGCCGCGUGUGUGAAGAAGGUCUUCGGAUUGUAAAGCACUUUAAGUUGGGAGGAAGGGCAUUAACCUAAUACGUUAGUGUUUUGACGUUACCGACAGAAUAAGCACCGGCUAACUCUGUGCCAGCAGCCGCGGUAAUACAGAGGGUGCAAGCGUUAAUCGGAAUUACUGGGCGUAAAGCGCGCGUAGGUGGUUCGUUAAGUUGGAUGUGAAAUCCCCGGGCUCAACCUGGGAACUGCAUUCAAAACUGUCGAGCUAGAGUAUGGUAGAGGGUGGUGGAAUUUCCUGUGUAGCGGUGAAAUGCGUAGAUAUAGGAAGGAACACCAGUGGCGAAGGCGACCACCUGGACUGAUACUGACACUGAGGUGCGAAAGCGUGGGGAGCAAACAGGAUUAGAUACCCCUGGUAGUCCACGCCGUAAACGAUGUCAACUAGCCGUUGGGAGCCUUGAGCUCUUAGUGGCGCAGCUAACGCAUU
This 806-nucleotide ribosomal RNA is filed under the name Pseudomonas brassicacearum. RNAcentral describes it as "bacterial SSU rRNA". It matches the Rfam family "Bacterial small subunit ribosomal RNA", at positions 61 to 861 of the family's 1533-position model. Lineage: Bacteria; Pseudomonadati; Pseudomonadota; Gammaproteobacteria; Pseudomonadales; Pseudomonadaceae. The record is from RNAcentral.